This 301-nucleotide signal recognition particle RNA is filed under the name Saimiri boliviensis boliviensis (Bolivian squirrel monkey). RNAcentral describes it as "Metazoan signal recognition particle RNA (ENSSBOG00000009582.1)". It matches the Rfam family "Metazoan signal recognition particle RNA". From Rfam's summary of the family: The signal recognition particle (SRP) is a universally conserved ribonucleoprotein. It is involved in the co-translational targeting of proteins to membranes. The eukaryotic SRP consists of a 300-nucleotide 7S RNA and six proteins: SRPs 72, 68, 54, 19, 14, and 9. Lineage: Eukaryota; Metazoa; Chordata; Mammalia; Primates; Cebidae. The record is from RNAcentral.
GCUGGGCGCGGUGGUGUGUGCCUGUAGUCCCAGCUACUCCGGAGGCUGAGGUGGGAGGAUCGCUUGAGCCCAGGAGUUCUGCACUUACAGUGCACUAUGCUCAUCAGGUGUCCACAUUAAGUUUGGCAUCAAUAUGGUGACCUCCCGGGACCGAGGGACCACCAGGUUGCCAGAGGAGGGGUGAACCAGCCCAGGUCGAAAAUGGAGCAGGUCAAAACUACCGUGCUGAUCAGUAGUGGGUUUGUGCCUGUGAAUAGCCACUGCACUCCAGCCUGGGCAACGUAGUGAGACCCCCAUCUCU